Long non-coding RNA from Zea mays, 1738 nucleotides. RefSeq lists it as uncharacterized. The transcript is spliced from 5 exons. The record is from RefSeq and is a predicted model, not a curated record. NCBI's taxonomy places the organism in Eukaryota, Viridiplantae, Streptophyta, Magnoliopsida, Poales, Poaceae.
CCCUUGUCUCAUCCCGCCCACACACGCGCGCGGCUCUCUCUCUCACCCUGUCUCAUCCUCUCUCACCUAGCGCUAGACCGAGCCGCCGCCACGCCACCGCGAGUCGAGCCGCUGCCACGACCGGGCCGCGCCUCCGCCGCACCACCGUGACCGGGCCGCGCCGCCGCGAGCGGGCUACGGCACCGCGACCGGGCCUCGCCGCCGCGAGCGGGCUACGGCACCGCGACCGGGCCUCGCCGCCGCCCGGCUCGCCAGCUCGGCCCCAACCUGCCCGGGCCGCGCCGCCACCGCGACCGGGUCGCGCCUCCGCCGCGCCAUCGCGAGCGAGCCUCGUCGCCGCCCUAGCUCUCCAGCUCGGCCCCAACCCGCCCCGGCUCGCCAGCUCGGCCCCGACCGCCCCUGCUCGGCCCCAACCUCAUCUCAUUAGUAUUCAGAGACACAACUAAUUGGUUUCAGUGUUUUAUAUUUUAGGCUCCUUCAGUCAACAAUCAAAACCAUCAUGACACUAUGCAAAAAUAUAGCUCAAAUCAAACCACACCAUCUAGCAAUUUGAAGACUGAAAAUAAACCUCUCUGUUCACGGGAAUCGAGUCACACAGCACAUGCUUCAAUUGCUCCAAACCAAACUGUUUCGAUAGUUUGUCCGUCUGACAACAUGCCUGCUGAAGUUGGUACAUCAGAGAUGCACCAGAUCAAUAGUUCUGAAAAUGCUACCCAGGAGACACAAAUUGAAAAUGUAGCUGAAAAAUCAGCAGAGGAUGGCUAUAAUUGGCGUAAAUAUGGACAAAAGCAUGUCAAGGGAAGUGAAAAUCCUAGAAGUUAUUACAAGUGCACGCAUCCUAAUUGUGAAGUUAAAAAGCUAUUAGAGCGUUCGCUUGAUGGCCAAGUUACUGAAGUUGUUUAUAAAGGGCGUCAUAAUCAUUCUAAGCCCCAACCAAAUAGAAGGUUAGCUGCUGGUGCAGUUCCUUCAAGCCAGGGUGAAGAAAGAUACGAUGGUGUGGCAACUAUUGAAGACAAGCCUUCAAAUAUUUAGACAAUUUUUCUGUAACCAAGUACAUUCAGCUGGCAUGAUUGACACUGUUCCGGGUCCAGCUAGCGAUGAUGAUGUUGAUGCUAGAGGUGGAAGAUCCUACCCUGGGGAUGAUGCUAAUGAUGAUGAUUUGGACUCGAAACGCAGCUAGGAAAAUGGAAUCUGCUGGUAUCGCCGCCGCCCCGGCUCGCCAGCUCGGCCCUGACCGCCCCGGCUCGCCGCCGCCGCACCACCGCCCCGGCUCCGCUAAGCUCGGCGUCGCCGCCGCCACACCAGCAGGCCGCGCCACCAGCAGGCCGCACCACCCCCAGCAGACCGCGCCUCCGCUCAGCUCGGCCUCGGCGCAAGCUCAGCUCACCACCGCCCCACUGCCCCAGCUCGGCCUCGGCGCCACCACCACCCAGCUCGGCCUCGGCUCGCCGUCCGCUGCCCAAGCUCGGCCUCGAUCGGCUCGCCAGCACCGCCGGCCUCGAUCGGCUCGCCAGCGCCACUUAUGUGAAUUUGUGAACUUAUGUAUUUCGACUUAUGUGAAUUUGUGAAUUUGCAGAUGUUGCCAUGGCUAGACCUUCUGACAUUAGGACAGUGCUGGCAUCCUAUCAAGGUCAUGAUGUUGCUGCUAAGUUUAUUGAGCGUUCAAAGGAACACCAGCGGCGUGUGCAGGAACAGAGCAAACUUGGGCGCUUAUGGCGACGGUGAUGGAUCCUGUAAG